Molecule: ribosomal RNA, 467 nt
Filed under: uncultured bacterium
Lineage: Bacteria
Description: partial 16S ribosomal RNA
Rfam family: Bacterial small subunit ribosomal RNA
Source: RNAcentral
GAUGAACGCUGGCGGCGCGCCUAACACAUGCAAGUCGAACGAUUAAAGCACCUUCGGGUGUGUAUAAAGUGGCGAACGGCUGAGUAACACGUGGGCAACCUGCCCCUUUCAUUGGGAUAGCCACGGGAAACCGUGGAUAAUACCGAAUACUUCGAGACUUCCGCAUGGAAGACUCGAGAAAGCUCCGGCGGAGAGGGAUGGGCCCGCGGCCUGUUAGCUUGUUGGUGGGGUAACGGCCUACCAAGGCAAUGCUGGGUAGCUGGGUUGAGAGACCGACCAGCCAGAUUGGGACUGAGACACGGCCCAGACUCCUACGGGAGGCAGCAGUGGGGAAUCUUGCACAAUGGGCGAAAGCCUGAUGCAGCGACGCCGCGUGCGGGAUGAAGGCCUUCGGGUUGUAAACCGCUUUCAGCAGGGACGAGGCGAAAGUGACGGUACCUGCAGAAGAAGCCCCGGCUAACUACGUG